Scatophagus argus is the source of this 337-nucleotide long non-coding RNA. RefSeq lists it as uncharacterized. The record is from RefSeq and is a predicted model, not a curated record. Lineage: Eukaryota; Metazoa; Chordata; Actinopteri; Scatophagidae. The transcript is spliced from 3 exons.
GGGAGUUGAGGCUCUGGCCCUGAUGUUGGCCUCUGGAUUGUUUCCAGCUGAGGUGGGGCUUCUUACUGUAUAAAAGCAGAGUCGGUUCACUGCUGCGUCUGUGGAUCUGCACUCCAGCACUCAGUGAGUCCACCAGCAGCUUUCUGAGCUUCAUCACCAUAAAAUGCUUUGGAUCUGACCUGAAGUUCGGCAAUGUCGUGGUAUAGCGGAGGACACCAGUAUCCCCAUGGCUGCUUUCCUGAGCCAGGAGGAUACCAUCAGUGUCCACCGUGGACUGCCCCUCCUCAGGUCUGCCCUCAUCAGCCCUGUGGUCCUCGGCCCUGUGGUCCUCCUCCCU